RNAcentral lists this ribosomal RNA (232 nucleotides) under uncultured bacterium. Its description in RNAcentral is "partial 16S ribosomal RNA". It matches the Rfam family "Bacterial small subunit ribosomal RNA", at positions 96 to 334 of the family's 1533-position model. The record is from RNAcentral.
UGGCAGACGAGGUAGUAACACGUAAGUACGUACCCUGUAGUCUGGCAUAGCUCGUCGAAAGACGGGGUAAUUCCAGAUGGUCCCCGCAUUUAAUUAUGUUGGGUAAAGAAUUUCGCUACAGGAGCGGCUUGCGUAGUAUCAGCUAGUUGGUAGGGUAAUGGCCUACCAAGGCUACGACGCUUAGGGGAGCUGAGAGGCUGACCCCCACCGAUGGGACUGAGACACGGCCCAU